UACAGAGGUCCCAAGCGUUGUUCGGAUUCACUGGGCGUAAAGGGUGCGUAGGCGGUUUGACAAGUCUGAUGUGAAAUCCCGCAGCUUAACUGCGGAACUGCAUUGGAAACUGUUUGACUAGAGGAAUGGAGGGGAGACUGGAAUACUUGGUGUAGCAGUGAAAUGCGUAGAUAUCAAGUGGAACACCAGUGGCGAAGGCGAGUCUCUGGACAUUUCCUGACGCUGAGGCACGAAAGCCAGGGGAGCAAACAGG
RNAcentral lists this ribosomal RNA (253 nucleotides) under uncultured bacterium. RNAcentral describes it as "partial 16S ribosomal RNA". It matches the Rfam family "Bacterial small subunit ribosomal RNA", at positions 524 to 776 of the family's 1533-position model. The record is from RNAcentral.